Amblyraja radiata (thorny skate) is the source of this 229-nucleotide long non-coding RNA. RefSeq lists it as uncharacterized. The transcript has 3 exons. Lineage: Eukaryota; Metazoa; Chordata; Chondrichthyes; Rajiformes; Rajidae. The record is from RefSeq and is a predicted model, not a curated record.
UCAAGAGAUUCAAGCAAUUUAAAUUCCAUCCAAAAGGAGCUCUCAACGUUGCAGGAACAGAUGGAUCAAAAAGACAACGGGAUAUUUCUGGAAGGAGGCAGCUGGUCGGAGAAGGAGGGUCAGUGAUGAAGCCCGUACAUUGUCAGUGACAGAUGGUGCCUUGCCGAUUGAAAAGAUUCAUCACCACUUUGUGUUGAACACGUUGUGGAGAGAAACCUGCGUCAUCCAG